AAGGCCCUAGUAUAAUGCAAUACAUGACCCCGUCAACAUCAAAACACAGACUUGGACCUGUGAGCCUUA
This 69-nucleotide transfer RNA is filed under the name Acanthosaura armata (armored pricklenape). RNAcentral's name for it is "tRNA-Asp". The record is from RNAcentral. Lineage: Eukaryota; Metazoa; Chordata; Lepidosauria; Squamata; Agamidae.